CUUGUUUAAGUAUAAGAGGUCCAGCCUGCCCAGUGAUAAUUUAUUCAACGGCCGCGUGAUUUAAAGCGCGCAAAGGUAGCGUAAUCACUUGUUCUUUAAAUGAGGACUCGAAUCAACGGCACCACGAGGGCUAUACUGUCUCCUUCUCCUAAUCAGUGAAACUAAUCUCCCUGUGAAAAAGCAGGAAUAUCCCUAUAAGACGAGAAGACCCCAUGGAGCUUUAAACAUAACAACACCUUUAAAACUUAAUCAUCUACCUUAUUAACCUGAAAGCAUUGUAUGUUAGUUUUAGGUUGGGGCGACCGCGGAGUAUAAUAGAACCUCCAUAACGAAAGGGCGUAAAUCCUUACUUGAGAAAAACAUUUCUACAAAUUAUUAACAUAACGUUUAAUGACCCGAUCAUCGAUUAACGAACCA
RNAcentral lists this ribosomal RNA (417 nucleotides) under Phrynoglossus sp. 712D. Its description in RNAcentral is "partial 16S ribosomal RNA". It matches the Rfam family "Bacterial large subunit ribosomal RNA", at positions 1834 to 2441 of the family's 2925-position model. Lineage: Eukaryota; Metazoa; Chordata; Amphibia; Anura; Dicroglossidae. The record is from RNAcentral.